GCAAUACUGCCCUCUGCUGAAUUAAACUGGAACGUGUUUUCAUUGUAUCUCAUGCUCUGCAAUGUUCACAGAUAGUGGGGAAUCUCUUCAUUCAAGCCUGUGCUUUGGAACAAGAGGAUCUGAAUUAUAUGUACUGUGAAAUUCUUAAAGGCAACCCACCUUACAGCAGGUGUUUGUCAUUAGUAGAGAUAUUAUAGCAAGGCAAUGUAUAUUUAAAAGAUACCUACUUCCACAUUCCAUAAAGACUAUCCUACCUGUUUUCGUAAGACUAAAUGCAUUAUUCUCACUUCCAGGGAAGACACACGAUUUCAAAGUGGAAUCCAGACCAUUAUGUUAAGCACCUAUGGUCACAAUACAGAACAUGAGGAGAGUUAGUAAACACUGAGCAAAUGACUGAAUCCUGCCCCCUGGGCAUCGUCCUCCGAUGAUGAGGUUCCUCCGUUCACUUAGGAUCUUGAAUUUCACACCUGCUCUUGAAGGCUGGCAGGUUGGCCCUACUGGAGCAGCAGCUUCUGUCUUCUCCACUCUUGAGUCCAGUCCCACGACCUAUCCGUGUGUCAACAACACUACAGCAAGUUCCCUGCCACACUGGCUGCUUUACCCUGCUGCCUGCCAGCUCUGGGUAUGCCAGUCUUCAGCUGCUCAGCCUCUUCAGUCUCCUGGUAUGUCUGUACCUGGCCUAGGAGGAUGUGCACACUGCAGAGAGAUCCCUCAAAAUAGCCUUAAAGUGUUUCAACUAUUAUAUCCUCAAUUUGAGUCCCGUAAUAGAGGUCUGACUUGUGUUGGGUACUCACCUUCUUUAAAAAUCAGACCCCUUUCCAGAGCACAAGUAGCUGCAGCACUUCAGGAAGCUUACCAUCUGUGGAUUUAG
This 871-nucleotide long non-coding RNA is filed under the name Crocodylus porosus (Australian saltwater crocodile). Its description in RNAcentral is "lncRNA (ENSCPRG00005007818.1)". Lineage: Eukaryota; Metazoa; Chordata; Crocodylia; Crocodylidae. The record is from RNAcentral.